UACGUAGGGUGCAAGCGUUGUCCGGAAUUAUUGGGCGUAAAGAGCUCGUAGGCGGCUUGUCACGUCGGGUGUGAAAGCCCGGGGCUUAACCCCGGGUCUGCAUCCGAUACGGGCAGGCUAGAGUGUGGUAGGGGAGAUCGGAAUUCCUGGUGUAGCGGUGAAAUGCGCAGAUAUCAGGAGGAACACCGGUGGCGAAGGCGGCUCACUGGCCCGAUACUGACGCUGAGGUGCGAAAGCGUGGGGAGCAAACAGG
RNAcentral lists this ribosomal RNA (253 nucleotides) under uncultured bacterium. Its description in RNAcentral is "partial 16S ribosomal RNA". It matches the Rfam family "Bacterial small subunit ribosomal RNA", at positions 524 to 776 of the family's 1533-position model. The record is from RNAcentral.